Molecule: long non-coding RNA, 2074 nt
Filed under: Actinia tenebrosa (Australian red waratah sea anemone)
Lineage: Eukaryota; Metazoa; Cnidaria; Anthozoa; Actiniaria; Actiniidae
Description: uncharacterized LOC116287772, transcript variant X1
Source: RNAcentral
ACAUUCCUUUAUAUUACGGUUUAGUAAUUCUCUUAUUUCAGCUCGUGAUAAGAUGCAUGUAGCAUUUUUUUAGUUAGUCCAGGUAAAGAACCUGUAACAUCCAGCCACUUAUGACAAGAAUGCAGUAAAAAAAAAAAAUGGUUAAAUUGAUCAUAUACGUCCGCUCAUCUUCAUGACCUACCAAUAAAAUGUGGAACUUUACCAAUAUAUAUCUUAUGGCGCAUUUGUCGUGGCAAAAUUCAAACAAGAUUUUUUUUGUGCUCAACCUUCUGUUUUUCCAUCCAUCCAUUCAAUUAUUCAGUUUAGCCGUAUUUAUUGGUUAUUUCAAUAGACUUACGCUACCAGUAUUAUAUCAAGGUUUAAAUCACCUUUCAGAAAGAGGUGCCUAAAAACGUACACAGAUUCACCCUAGUUAAACAAAGUAUUAUCGUCUAUUCGUGGGUAAAAAUAACUUAAACAAUAAAGGAUGUUUAUAAGGAAACCAAUAUUAAGUCUGCGGUUUACCCUUUCUUGUUAUUUCGCCGCACGCGUUGUCUCAGCAUACAGCAAAAGACCUCAGGCUGUGUCUGGAGUACGAGGGCACGCCACGAUUAAUAGGAGCAGACAAUGAAAUGUUUUGAGAUACAACCCUAUAAUCAACAACAAUGAAGUGGACAUCAAAGAAAACAUCUCAAGCUGUUUUCAUAAUCUAGUCAGGAUUUAUAGGAUUUUAUAUAAGAGAAAAGCAAAACUCUCCAAUGAGUAGUUAUGAGUCUUUUGCGGUUAGAAGUCACACGCCCAGCAUGUAUUGCCGGGGUGACGACAGCACUAAGUAGUUCGGUCGAAACAAAUGACUUGUUCCACGUGGUAUUUCACAAUAAAAGCAAACUAAUAUCCCAUCUAGUGUUUAAGAAAAUCAUUAUUGGAUAACAGACCAAGAGUACCAAAUAGUUUUUUGCCUUUUGACACAACCUAUAACCAAGCUACGCUUAAUCUCAAAAAAGUUCUCAUAAAACACUUGCAGAUUAAUUGUCUUCAACUCCUAACCAAUGUUGCUAGUAUCUCACUGAGAUCCUCCAACAGUGUCUUACAGGAAGGUUCAAAACAGAAAGGAAAACUCGCCCAGAAAUCUCCUAGUGAGAGCUAAACUACUUUCCACGAAAACUACAGCCAGCUCAUUGAAAACGGCGAAUGUAGAAUGUGAUGGCAAUACACACACCCUUGAACAAAAGUCAGUAAGGGUCAGUGAUUCAUAUCUGUUCACUUCAGUUCAUUGUUCCCACUAAGGACAUCAGAAAAAGAUGACAAAUAUUUCUGAUUCGACAAGAUGUAACAUGAGGAUAACAAAUAAUGUGUUUGUAAAAAAAGGAAAUUAUUAUUAUUUAUUAUCUUAUUUUAAGAUGCAGGGUUUGAUUUCUAGCUCCAUAAACUACCAUACGUAAUUAAGCUUAGUCGUUAUAAAUGAGUUCUGUCAUCAAAGCCAUCAUUUUAUCACUGUUUAUACGUGCUUUAUCUAAAAGAUUACGAAAGUCCUCAAACAGUCGGUCCGGUGGUAGCUCCUUACGACUUGACUUGCUUGACAAGGGCACACAGUAGUCUCAAGUAUGAACACGACAUCAAAAACAAUAACUACUAGCUGUGAGAUACUUAAUUAAGUGAUUCUUCGAAGUGAAUAUCCCUUGUUAUCCAGUGUAAAAACCUGAAUUUGACAAUUAACAUCUACGGGCAACUGCUUUUAUGACUUGCAAUGAAUAUUAGUGGCGUCGCUGGUCAGAGAUAAUGACUUUUGAUUAGCUCAUAAUAAUUAACGAUAAAGAGAAGCUACACAUUCUCUACUGAAGUGUUAAGCUGUGUUUGUCACCACCGUCAUCGUUGGUAUUUAUUUUCCAGAACCGUGACUAUUUGGUUAUUUCGAUUAAUCAUCCACUAAUUGAUCGCGCUUGCAAGCACGACCAAGCAAUGACUAUUGUUGGUUUCUCAGUGAUGUGGUUCAUUCUUGAAGAGAAAGGAUAGAAAGUUCACAUGGCUAGAUCAGAGAGAUCAUUUCACUCAAUUCCACUCAUUCUUUGUCGUCAAAAAAGAGAUUUAGAGUACA